Long non-coding RNA from Equus caballus (horse), 3333 nucleotides. The record is from Ensembl. Lineage: Eukaryota; Metazoa; Chordata; Mammalia; Perissodactyla; Equidae.
GCAGCAGCCUCCUCAGCCUCGGUUUUACCGUCUGCGCAUUUCAGGGCUAUGGUGGGGACCCCAGGCGCAAAGGCUGUGAGAGCAGCUCUAGUCUGCGAAGCAGUAAACACUUGAAUUGUCUGUAUUUUGUUUACCCUAACGGGACUCUCAGGAGAAUGACAGGAACAGCGAUCGUUAGUCACAGGAAAAGCCGCUGUUUCCGCGCUGGCUCUCUGGGGGCUUUUCCGAGCGUUUUACAUACCAGCAUAGCGGCUGGUUUAACCCGACAGAAGUCACCGGCUGUGGCACCACGGACAGAUGGGGAAACCAAGGCACAGAGAGGUUGGAUAACUUGCUUAGGGCCACACAGCUGGUAGCGGCGUUUUCUCCUCCUCCUGUCCCAGCCUCUUCUCUCUGUUUACCUCCGCGUGACGACGUCAGCUCCACGUGCCUGAGACGUGUGUUUGUGGAGCGGAUGCUGCUGUGUCAGAUGUAACUUGCAGGAUGGUGUGUCCCCGCACAUGGAGGGUCAUUGCAGCCCCGUGGGCCCUGUGUGUCACUGCAGAAGGUGGGAGGCGACGCACAAGGUGAUGCAUGCUUCCGGGGGCGGGCUGGCCUCCGAGUGACUGUCUCCUGUCUUAGCCACGAUCCAUAGCAGCCCAGGGCACCCGGAGUCCCGGCCAGGGUCUGGCCCCACCUGCUGAUGUGGUGACCGUGACGCGCAGUUGGCCGUCCUGAGCACUGGUCCUCGUCUGGAAAAGGAGAUGGGGGGCGGCUGGAAGAAUGACGCGGAGAGAGCAGACGCACCAACCCUCGUGUGGCGUUCACGCUUCAGACACGUGGUUCAAUCUCUGAGCUCCUUGUAGGUGGGGUCACCGCCCCCAUCUUGCAGGUGGGGAAACUGAGGCACAAGAUAAUUCAAGAGUCCAUGCUGACAGGUGGGGAGUGUGAGCCCAGGGCUGUCAUGGAGGGUGGGAGCCCUCAGCGUGCUGUCCCCAUGGCUGUGGCUGUGAACUUCCUGUGUGCCGGCUUCUGGGUUUCCUGCCCUUGGCUCAGCCACAGUGACUGUGGGUCUUAGUGGACCACUGGCUUUUCUGCACUCAUGUCUUCAGCUGUCAGUGACCUCCCAGCGAGCUCCCUGUCACCAUCACCCUGAGCUUGGUGGUGCUCAGGCAGAGCGAGGCCUUCUGUUGGGGUCCCUCCUCCCCACAAGGCCCCCCGCCCAGUGCUGGGCACUUGGUUACCUGGUGGGUCACCUGUACCCAGGUGCUCAGGAGCGUCCUCAGAGGCCCCGUGAGCCCCACCUCGGCACCUGGGGAUCCCAUCGUCUGGAGGGUUCACCUGCCCCACCUGUGGGCCUUCAUGAGCUCCUUCUCACUUUGGAGAAAGAUGGGGUCCAGUCCUGGACACAGAUGGGGUCGUGGGGUGGGAGGGACACGGCACCUCCCGAGAAGGUGGUUCUGGGUCAAGAACUCUCUCCGGGCAGUGAAACACCAGAGAUGGUAGAAUUUUAGGUCUGGGGGUGCCUUCGGGGCUGUCAAGCCCAACACCCUUGUUUCACAGACAGGGAAACUGAGGCACAGAGAGAAAGGGCUGCCGAGGUGCUGCUGCUACAGAGGGGCCCAGACGGGACGCAGGCCGGCCGUGGGGGAGGGGUGGAGGCGGUGGGGAGGGUCCCUCUCUCCCUGCCUCCCCCCUGCGCACACACUGCGGGGGGCACCGGGCAGGGAUGGGCAAGCCGCGCUGGAGGGGCCGAGCGCCCGCCUGUCCGGCCCCCAGUGAUUCUUAGUAAGAAGCGGUGACACGCAGCUGGCCUGGUGCAGAGGCCGCCCGGGGCAUGCGUCCCUUCAGGCCCCCCAGCUCUCACGGGGACCCCGAGGAAGAAGAUGAGAGUGAAGCGGCUGCGUUCGCCAGUUCUGGACGUCGGCACGCGGUGUCCGCGGCUCACGUGGGAGGGAAGGAGGCAGACGCGUGCGAAGAGAAAACGAAGGACCUUCCUCCAGCCGGGGCCCAGAGGAGGGGAAAUUCCCGGGAAAGGAUGCAGCUUCCGGGGUGGAGGAAGCUGGCCCCUGACCUGGGGACCUUGAAGGGGUCCUUUGUGUAGAGCUGACUCCAGGGUGCUCGUCUGCUGGGUCUCUCUGCACAGGACACCGGCUGCUGGAGACCUCGUCCUCCCAGGGUCCCUGUGGACGGGUCUUCAUGUGGCUCCAUCCCAGGGGCCCCUUGUCCUCCCACGUGGGCCCCGGGGAGCCUCCUUGCUGUCGACUGGAGGCUGGGGCUGCUGUGGUAUUUGUCCUCUGUCCCCGGUCGUGGGACACAGCCCUCUGGGGGACCCUGAGCCCCAGCACAGGGCGCGGUGUGGGCAGGUGAGGGAGCCGCACCUCAGUGGCCAGAAUCCUGUAUUCUCCCCACUCCAGGCGCUUUCUGCUCUCAUGCGGGGGCAAGGGGGCUGGUUUUCCUCCAUCUCUUUCAUCGAUUCUUUUCAUGUCAAAAGGGCUCCAGCCUUGGGAUGUCACAGCUCUUGGGUUCGGGUGGAACCGUCAAUCGUAGCAGUCCACUGCGGUGUGUUGGCGUGGGAGCAAACCCGGGGAUGCUCGAACCCGCCAGGCUGUCCUCCGGGUGGCGGGAACGAGGUCGGCUGGUCCCUUUAAUUGAGCGUUUCAAUGGUUUAAGCUAUGCCUCCCUGAACUCUUACACCGAGGAGGAGAAGAUGGUUCAGGGCGGGGCCGAACGCCCACCCUGCCCGCACGCCCUGCCCUCAUUGUGGACCAAGUAGAUGCAAGCUGCUUUAAAAUAAACCAGAAAGUUCUGAGUUGGACAGAAGGUUGAAAUUCGUGGCUCUUGUGGUACCACGUUUGGGGACGUGGGCAACGGUGGCCACAUACUGGAAGGGACCUGUGAUUUCUGCUCGGGCCGGGCCGGAGCGCCCCCUCACAGCCUGGCUGUGGUCUGCGUUCACAGAAGGAAAUGCUGACGACGAGGUUUGACUUUCCCACCCAAGGUCACAGGCCCCGGGGCGAGGUGGUAUCCCAGUGAUGUCACGGCUGGAUUCUUCCGUAUCUUCGCUGAGUUAGAAGAUCGCAGGUCGCUGAGUUCUGACAUCGGCUGCGGCUGCAGGGGGCUGGCCCUGCGCCCUCUGCCAGGAGGCCUCGCCUGGGUGCCCCGUGGGAAUGGACCUCCCGCUUCCCAGCUCUUACUGCCUUUUCUGUCUGUUCCACCACCGACCCCUCCUCCUUUGUCACAAGCAGGUGUGGGCCUGUGAGCGCCCAAGGGUGUGGAAGGUCUUCUCAAUCCCCAAAAUGAAAUAAAUCCCAGUAAAUGUGGCCCAGUGUGGCCCAAAGCAAGACUUUCCAG